RNAcentral lists this ribosomal RNA (363 nucleotides) under Triticum aestivum (bread wheat). RNAcentral describes it as "partial small subunit ribosomal RNA". Lineage: Eukaryota; Viridiplantae; Streptophyta; Magnoliopsida; Poales; Poaceae. The record is from RNAcentral.
AUGACUCACCCGGCGGAGGAGCAGACGCGGCGCAUGCCCCCCGGCGACCUCGCCGGGACGCAUGAGAGGCCUCGGGACCUCGAACUCGCCGCUCGGCAGCUGGACCAAACCAGGCGGGAGCAGAUGCUUUCCAUGGCGAAGAAGUUCGCCGCCAUCAAGGCCCAAGCCGUCGACGCUCAGACCUCGCGCGCCGUCACCGGCGCCAAGACGGUGAAGCGGGAGAGGAAGGGCUUGAUCACUGCCAUUGUCAUGCUCAUCUUGGCCUUGAUCCUCCUGCGGCUUGGGUUCGGUGUCAGAUCCACGUUAAGGGUGUGUAGCCAGUUGGAUAGAUGGUUUUCGGCCAAAACCAACAAAAACAAGUAA